Molecule: ribosomal RNA, 484 nt
Filed under: uncultured bacterium
Lineage: Bacteria
Description: partial 16S ribosomal RNA
Rfam family: Bacterial small subunit ribosomal RNA
Source: RNAcentral
AUUGAACGCUGGCGGAAUGCUUUACACAUGCAAGUCGAGCGGCAGCACGGGGGCAACCCUGGUGGCGAGCGGCGAACGGGUGAGUAAUACAUCGGAACAUGCCCAGUCGUGGGGGAUAACACUUCGAAAGAAGUGCUAAUACCGCAUACGUCCUGAGGGAGAAAGCGGGGGAUCGCAAGACCUCGCGCGAUUGGAGUGGCCGAUGUCAGAUUAGCUAGUUGGUGGGUUAAAGGCCUACCAAGGCAACGAUCUGUAGCUGAUCUGAGAGGAUGAUCAGCCACACUGGGACUGAGACACGGCCCAGACUCCUACGGGAGGCAGCAGUGGGGAAUUUUGGACAAUGGGGGCAACCCUGAUCCAGCCAUUCCGCGUGAGUGAAGAAGGCCUUCGGGUUGUAAAGCUCUUUCGGCAGGAACGAAACGGUGAGCUCUAACAUAGCUCGCUAAUGACGGUACCUGAAGAAGAAGCACCGGCUAACUACGUG